AGUGAACGCUGGCGGUAGGCCUAACACAUGCAAGUCGAACGGCAGCACAGUAAGAGCUUGCUCUUACGGGUGGCGAGUGGCGGACGGAUGAGGAAUACAUCGGAAUCUACUUUUUCGUGGGGGAUAACGUAGGGAAACUUACGCUAAUACCGCAUACGACCUACGGGUGAAAGCAGGGGAUCUUCGGACCUUGCGCGAUUGAAUGAGCCGAUGUCGGAUUAGCUAGUUGGCGGGGUAAAGGCCCACCAAGGCGACGAUCCGUAGCUGGUCUGAGAGGAUGAUCAGCCACACUGGAACUGAGACACGGUCCAGACUCCUACGGGAGGCAGCAGUGGGGAAUAUUGGACAAUGGGCACAAGCCUGAUCCAGCCAUACCGCGUGGGUGAAGAAGGCCUUCGGGUUGUAAAGCCCUUUUGUUGGGAAAGAAAAGCAGCAGGUUAAUACCCCGCUGUUCUGACGGUACCCAAAGAAUAAGCACCGGCUAACUUCGUG
RNAcentral lists this ribosomal RNA (492 nucleotides) under uncultured bacterium. RNAcentral describes it as "partial 16S ribosomal RNA". It matches the Rfam family "Bacterial small subunit ribosomal RNA", at positions 29 to 507 of the family's 1533-position model. The record is from RNAcentral.